GGUUCUGUAGCUCAGUUGGUUAGAGUUUCCGUCUGAUAUACGGAAGGUCAUGGGUUCAAGUCCCAUCGGGACCA
This is a non-coding RNA of Triticum aestivum (bread wheat), 74 nucleotides long. NCBI's taxonomy places the organism in Eukaryota, Viridiplantae, Streptophyta, Magnoliopsida, Poales, Poaceae. The record is from Rfam.